RNAcentral lists this ribosomal RNA (504 nucleotides) under uncultured fungus. RNAcentral describes it as "SSU rRNA". It matches the Rfam family "Eukaryotic small subunit ribosomal RNA", at positions 248 to 755 of the family's 1831-position model. Lineage: Eukaryota; Fungi. The record is from RNAcentral.
GAUUCAUAAUAACUUAACGAAUCGCAUGGCCUUGCGCCGGCGAUGGUUCAUUCAAAUUUCUGCCCUAUCAACUUUCGAUGGUAAGGUCUUGGCUUACCAUGGUCUCAACGGGUAACGGGGAAUUAGGGUUCUAUUCCGGAGAGGGAGCCUGAGAAACGGCUACCACAUCCAAGGAAGGCAGCAGGCGCGCAAAUUACCCAAUCCCGAUUCGGGGAGGUAGUGACAAUAAAUACUGAUACGGGGCUCUUUUGGGUCUCGUAAUUGGAAUGAGUACAAUCUAAAUCCCUUAACGAGGAACAAUUGGAGGGCAAGUCUGGUGCCAGCAGCCGCGGUAAUUCCAGCUCCAAUAGCGUAUAUUAAAGUUGUUGCCGUUAAAAAGCUCGUAGUUGAACCUUGGGCCUGGCUGACCUGUCCUCCUAAUCGAGCGCACGGGUUCGGUCGGGCCUUUCCUUCUGGGGAUCCCGAUGCCCUUCACUGGGCGUCGUGGGGAACCAGGACUUUUAC